RNAcentral lists this ribosomal RNA (486 nucleotides) under uncultured bacterium. RNAcentral's name for it is "partial 16S ribosomal RNA". It matches the Rfam family "Bacterial small subunit ribosomal RNA", at positions 28 to 507 of the family's 1533-position model. The record is from RNAcentral.
GAUGAACGCUAGCGGCAGGCUUAACACAUGCAAGUCGAGGGGCAGCGCGGGAUAGCAAUAUCCUGGCGGCGACCGGCGGAAGGGUGCGUAACGCGUGAGCGACAUGCCCGUUGCCCGGGGACAACCGGUGGAAACGCCGACUAAUCCCCGAUGGGAUAUUGUGCCGCAUGGCACGAUAUUGAAAGUUACGGCGGCGACGGAUUGGCUCGCGUCCGAUUAGCUGGUUGGCGGGGUAACGGCCCACCAAGGCUGCGAUCGGUAGGGGUUCUGAGAGGAAGGCCCCCCACAAUGGGACUGAGACACGGCCCAUACUCCUACGGGAGGCAGCAGGGAGGAAUAUUGGUCAAUGGGCGGAAGCCUGAACCAGCCAUGCCGCGUGCGGGAAGGAGGCCCUAUGGGCUGUGAACCGCUUUUGCCUGGGGGCAAUAAGGGCGUCGCGCACGUCCGAUGAGAGUACCAGGCGAAUAAGCAUCGGCUAACUCCGUG